Molecule: ribosomal RNA, 253 nt
Filed under: uncultured bacterium
Lineage: Bacteria
Description: partial 16S ribosomal RNA
Rfam family: Bacterial small subunit ribosomal RNA
Source: RNAcentral
UACGGGGGGGGUAAGCGUUGUUCGGAAUUACUGGGCGUAAAGGGCGCGUAGGCGGCCUGGCAAGUGGAAGGUGAAAUCCCUCGGCUUAACCGAGGAACUGCCCUCCAAACUGCUUGGCUUGAGUCCGGGAGAGGUGAGUGGAAUUCCCAGUGUAGCGGUGAAAUGCGUAGAUAUUGGGAGGAACACCAGUGGCGAAGGCGGCUCACUGGACCGGAACUGACGCUGAGGCGCGAAAGCGUGGGGAGCAAACGGG